RNAcentral lists this ribosomal RNA (627 nucleotides) under uncultured fungus. RNAcentral's name for it is "LSU rRNA". It matches the Rfam family "Eukaryotic large subunit ribosomal RNA", at positions 23 to 664 of the family's 3401-position model. The record is from RNAcentral. Lineage: Eukaryota; Fungi.
ACCCGCUGAACUUAAGCAUAUCAAUAAGCGGAGGAAAAGAAACCAACAGGGAUUGCCCUAGUAACGGCGAGUGAAGCGGCAACAGCUCAAAUUUGAAAUCUGGCUCCUCCGGCGCCCGAGUUGUAAUUUGCAGAGGAUGCUUCGGCGUCGGCUCCGGUCUAAGUUCCUUGGAACAGGACGUCGCAGAGGGUGAGAAUCCCGUACGUGACCGGCCGCCUUCGCCGUGUGAAGCUCCUUCGACGAGUCGAGUUGUUUGGGAAUGCAGCUCUAAAUGGGAGGUAAAUUUCUUCUAAAGCUAAAUACCGGCCAGAGACCGAUAGCGCACAAGUAGAGUGAUCGAAAGAUGAAAAGCACUUUGAAAAGAGAGUUAAAAAGUACGUGAAAUUGUUGAAAGGGAAGCGCUUGCAACCAGACUUGUCCGCGGUUGCUCAUCCGGCCCUCUCGGCCGGUGCACUCUUCCGCGGUCAGGCCAGCGUCAGUCUGGGCGGCCGGAUAAAGGCCCCGGGAAUGUAGCUCCUCUCGGGGAGUGUUAUAGCCCGGGGCGCAAUGCGGCCAGCCCGGACUGAGGUCCGCGCUUCGGCUAGGACGCUGGCGUAAUGGUUGUAAGCGGCCCGUCUUGAAACACGG